RNAcentral lists this ribosomal RNA (850 nucleotides) under uncultured bacterium. Its description in RNAcentral is "bacterial SSU rRNA". It matches the Rfam family "Bacterial small subunit ribosomal RNA", at positions 48 to 870 of the family's 1533-position model. The record is from RNAcentral.
UUAACACAUGCAAGUCGAGCGAGAAAGGGGGGGCAACCCCCUGAGUAGAGCGGCGCACGGGUGAGUAACGCGUGGGUAACCUACCCCCAGGCGGGGGAUAACUACUCGAAAGGGUGGCUAAUACCGCAUGAGACCACGGGAUCUUCGGAUCCUGAGGCUAAAGAUCGCACCGGCUUGCCGGUGCUGUCACCAGGGGAUGGGCCCGCGUCCGAUUAGCUAGUUGGUGAGGUAAUGGCUCACCAAGGCUCCGAUCGGUAGCUGGUCUGAGAGGAUGAUCAGCCACACUGGAACUGAAACACGGUCCAGACUCCUACGGGAGGCAGCAGUGAGGAAUAUUGCGCAAUGGGGGAAACCCUGACGCAGCAACGCCGCGUGGGUGAAGAAGCCCUUCGGGUCGUAAAGCCCUUUCGGACGGGACGAACGCUCCGCGGUGACAAGCCGCGGAGUCUGACGGUACCGUAGGAAGAAGCACCGGCUAACUCCGUGCCAGCAGCCGCGGUAAUACGGAGGGUGCGAGCGUUGUUCGGAAUUACUGGGCGUAAAGCGCGUGUAGGCGGCCUUGCAAGUCAGGCGUGAAAGCCCUCGGCUUAACCGGGGAAGUGCGUCUGAAACUGCUUGGCUUGAGUACGGGAGAGGGAGGCGGAAUUCCCAGUGUAGAGGUGAAAUUCGUAGAUAUUGGGAGGAACACCGGUGGCGAAAGCGGCCUCCUGGACCGAUACUGACGCUGAGACGCGAAAGCGUGGGGAGCAAACAGGAUUAGAUACCCUGGUAGUCCACGCGGUAAACGAUGGGCACUAGGUGUGGGGGGUAUCCACUCCUCCCGUGCCGAAGCUAACGCAUUAAGUGCCCC